Long non-coding RNA from Drosophila grimshawi, 463 nucleotides. RefSeq lists it as uncharacterized. NCBI's taxonomy places the organism in Eukaryota, Metazoa, Arthropoda, Insecta, Diptera, Drosophilidae. The transcript is spliced from 3 exons. The record is from RefSeq and is a predicted model, not a curated record.
AUUUUAAUUUUAUACUUAUUAAUUUUAAGUGAGUGCCGAACAAGAUAACAAAAUUGGAGUACGUGGACGCUUUCAAUUAUGGAUACUCACCAGCCGAGCAUCGGUGGGCAGGUAAUACCGAAGGCGAGUAGCCAAACUCCAAGAAUCAUUAACAAUGCCAAUCGUUUGCAACGCCACUUUUUCGAAUAUGUCAACGGUUGUGUCACUGCGAGAUACCUAAGUACAAAGCAAUAAAAACUGAGUAAAUGAAAACAAAAACGAAGCGGCAUAUUGUGUAUAAAGCUGUUGACAAACGUCCCUAGCAAACAGCGCAGCAUGGCGUCAACAGCAAACUUGGAAAUGCCAUUAAAAUUCAGGUUGUUGCUACCAUUGUGCGUUGGACCCCCCCACCCAUUGGAACCCAUUGAAGUUCACUUUAAACGCCAUGCACAGGAUGGGUCAAUAAAAAAUUCUUUGCACAGUA